Molecule: ribosomal RNA, 465 nt
Filed under: uncultured bacterium
Lineage: Bacteria
Description: partial 16S ribosomal RNA
Rfam family: Bacterial small subunit ribosomal RNA
Source: RNAcentral
GACGAACGCUGGCGGCGUGCUUAACACAUGCAAGUCGAACGGAAAGGCCCUGCUUGCAGGGUACUCGAGUGGCGAACGGGUGAGUAACACGUGGGUGAUCUGCCCUGCACUUCGGGAUAAGCCUGGGAAACUGGGUCUAUUACCGGAUAGGAGCCAUUUUUAGUGUGAUGGUUGGAAAGUUUUUUCGGUGUAGGAUGAGCUCGCGGCCUAUCAGCUUGUUGGUGGGGUAAUGGCCUACCAAGGCGGCGACGGGUAGCCGGCCUGAGAGGGUGGACGGCCACAUUGAGACUGAGAUACGGCCCAGACUCCUACGGGGGGCAGAAGUGGGGAAUAUUGCACAAUGGGCGCAAGCCUGAUGCAGCGACGCCGCGUGGGGGAUGACGGCCUUCGGGUUGUAGACUCCUUGCGCUAGGGACGAAGCUUUUUGUGACGGUACCUAGAUAAGAAGCACCGGCUAACUACGUG